Malaclemys terrapin pileata is the source of this 1214-nucleotide long non-coding RNA. RefSeq lists it as uncharacterized. The record is from RefSeq and is a predicted model, not a curated record. The transcript has 6 exons. Lineage: Eukaryota; Metazoa; Chordata; Testudines; Emydidae.
AGGCCCCCUUUAGCUUCUUAAAAUAAACCUGUCAUCACUGCCUCCACAAACUUACCAGUCUGGGAAGCAAGAGGCCAGCAAGCUGGAUCUUUUAUAGCAGUGCAGAGAACGAACUCCAGAAUUAUUGGGUGGUCACUUGGUCUCUGGGUGAGAUACUUGGGAGCUGUGCAGGAUGAUCUCAAGGAGCCUCUCAGCUGUGGAAUUCCCUAUCAGCAGAGACAGGGAACCAAGAUGAACACACCAGACGGACCAAGAACCCUGAACUCUCUGACCAGGAACCAUCAACAGGAACCUAGAGCCACUGCUCAGGAACUCACCGUCAGGAACAGCUCCGCCAAUGACAGGAUCAGGAACGAUGUAGUAGAUUCCUGCAGAAGUGGAGUCCAGUUGAAGAGACACAGAUGGGAUUUGGGGGCAAAGGAGCAGCAGAACUGGCAAGACUGGAGCAGGACAAAAAGUAACACUGUGGCAAGAUUCAGGAGUUGGAUGCACUAUAAAUGCAAUCCACUCAAAUCAUUAGUGUGUGUAUGGCGAUCACACAGCAAGAUUGUAUAAUCAUCCCUGAGGUUUUAAAAUGGGUCCUUCCAUAUCCUUUUGAAUAAUGCCCAUUUAUCUGUUUGAAAUUACAUCAAUGUUAAUGGACAGCUGGCGGAGCAAUUUGUGGGGACGACUGGAGGAGCAGCGAGCGGCACGGAGCCUUGCGGGGCCGGUUGGAGCGGCCCAAGGAACGGCGAGCGGAGCUGUUUGCGGGGAUGGCUGGAGCGGCUCACAGGUCAGUGAGCGGAGCGGAGCAGCUUGUAGAGCGAAGCAGUUUGUGGGACGGCAGGAAGCGGACUGGCUCGUGGUGAAGGCUGCGGCGGAACCCUACGGAGAGACAGCCGGCCGGCCUUGGAUCACGUAAGGUGCCCCUUAACAUCCUAUGUGCCCCCCCUUUUACUCUGGGGCUGCACUGACCAGGGACAGAGACUUUGGGGUUUGUUGGAAUUUUGGGACUUUGGGUGGUUGCUGGACCCAAGAGACUUUGGGGCUGUUGGACUUUGGGGACUCUGGGUGAUUUUUGGGUUGCUGAUUCAAGAACCAAAGGGAAAGGACACAACCCAAUUUGCUGGGGUGGGUUUUUUGCUCAUGGUUUGUGUUAUGAAUCCUGUUUGUGGUGUUUUUCCAAUUUAAUGCUGAUGUCAUUUACCUCAUGUUAUUAAACAUUUUCUGCUACA